AACGAACGCUGGCGGCAUGCCUAACACAUGCAAGUCGAACGAUACCUUCGGGUCUUGUGGCGCAAGGGUGCGUAACGCGUGGGAACCUGCCCUUAGGUUCGGAAUCACUCCCCGAAAGGGGUGCUAAUACCGGAUAAUGUCUUCGGACCAAAGAUUUAUCGCCUUUGGAUGGGCCCGCGUUGGAUUAGCUAGUUGGUAGGGUAAAAGCCUACCAAGGCGACGAUCCAUAGCUGGUCUGAGAGGAUGAUCAGCCACACUGGGACUGAGACACGGACCAGACUCGUACGGGAGGCAGCAGUGGGGAAUAUUGGACAAGGGGCGAAAGCCUGAUCAAGCAAUGCCGCGUGAGUGAUGAAGGCGUUAGGGUUGUAAAGCUCUUUUACACGGGAGGAUAAUGACAGUACCGGGAGAAUAAGCUCCGGCUAACUCCGUG
This 433-nucleotide ribosomal RNA is filed under the name uncultured bacterium. RNAcentral's name for it is "partial 16S ribosomal RNA". It matches the Rfam family "Bacterial small subunit ribosomal RNA", at positions 29 to 507 of the family's 1533-position model. The record is from RNAcentral.